AAAAAGGUAAGCUAAAUAAAGCUACUGGGUUCAUACCCCAUUUAUGAAAAUAUUUCCCUUUUUA
RNAcentral lists this transfer RNA (64 nucleotides) under Cassida sp. EMHAU-15090501. RNAcentral's name for it is "tRNA-Met". The record is from RNAcentral. Lineage: Eukaryota; Metazoa; Arthropoda; Insecta; Coleoptera; Chrysomelidae.